Molecule: long non-coding RNA, 1642 nt
Organism: Carassius gibelio (silver crucian carp)
Lineage: Eukaryota; Metazoa; Chordata; Actinopteri; Cypriniformes; Cyprinidae
Exons: 3
Source: RefSeq, a predicted model, not a curated record
UGGGUAAUGAUCAAGAUUCUACGAUUCGAUUCUGAUUCACAAGCUCUUUUGCUUUUCUAGGUCCUUAAGAGUUUUGUUAUAGCCUAACUGGACAUUAGUCAACUUUUAAGUUCUAGGUUCUUUAUUUCAUUUUGAAACUGUUGAAAAAAUACUUUUUAAGGUCGGUUGAAUAAAAUGUAAGACAUUUUAUCAACGUUUAGCAAUGUUUAGUAACAUUUAUCAACAGGUGGCAGCAGAUUAUCCUUUUGACCUUUACAUUUGCUUACAACAAGCACCUACUGGAGACUAUGCUCAUGAAAAAUUAUUUUAGGGUUUAGUUUUAAUUUGUUGUUGUUGUAUCAAAAAUCUAUUAAUUGCUUUUGUAUGUUAAAAAAACUGCUUGUAAAAACUCAACUGUGUCAUACUGCAGAACUAUAAAAAGGUCAUCAGACAGAAUAAUGUGACUAACAAGUGAUUUAGUGAUUUAGUGAUUUAUCACUAAAAUGGAAACUGCAAAAAAAUAAAAACUGAAGAAAAUCGCAAUUGCUUCACAAUUAUAAACCAGGAUAACUUUAAACCUAAGCUCUGCUGAUGAUUGACAGUGCUUAUUUAGUUAAUUAUUGUGAUCUACAGAAGUAAAAUAAGUCAUGCAGGUGAGCUUCAGUUCUUACAGAGCACUGGCUCAUGGGUUGUUGGCUUUGUUUCAAGGAAGACACUGACAGGGAGCUCAGCAGAUCAUAACACUUGAUUUAUUAAACAUAAAGAAGUGAACAUCAUGAAUUAACCACAUCCGAUUACACAGUGUGUGUCAUCUCUCUCUCUCUACCUCUCACAACUGCACGUAGACCAUUCUUUAUACCUCUAGAUCUUAUUUAAAGAUAUAUAACAUUCAUUUUAACCUUGAAUUUCACUCCCUAAAUAAUACUCCCAUACCCAACAAGGAAUGUCCUAAUUUCUAAUACAACUCUUAUAAUUCCAUGGCACAAAACAAAAUGUAGACAUAACAUUCAAAAAAAUACAUUACCCAAAAACUGUAUCAUUGCGAAUUUUGGGUUCUGUGUGACAGUCUAACAACAGUAGAGUAAAACACUAUACUUGUUGCACAUCAACAAUAUUUAUAAAACCGAGAUGAGUAAGCAGGAGCGGCACGGAGCGUCAUCAACAUCCUCAACCGCAGGGCAUUCGAGGCAGCCUGAGGGACAAAGAGAAAUGUCACUUCUCCAGGUGGUGGAGCAACUUUUUCGAGAGGAAACUGCUGAUACUGACCCAGAGGAUGGUGUGGUGGUGCCAGAGAUCCAUUGCCCUUUUUCUGACCAAAAACUUGCCGUUCUGCGUGGAUUGAUUAAUCCCUUGACAUCACCAUUGAAUGACAGGGAGCUCUAUGUCCAGACACUUGCUAUCAUCAAAAGAUUGUGCUCUAUUUAACAUUUAAAUGUUUAAGUAAAACACUCAGAAGUACACAUGCAGUUCUGUCAGAAUUUUAAUUAAAGAAAAUCAGUUAAUUGCCAAUAAAACAUUUAAUUUUAUACAAUGCUGUAAAACAUGUAACCAUUCAGAAGCAUGUAAAGUUAUUAAUACGUUGAACAUUGUAUCUCUGGAUUUUAAAGUUUAUAUUAAAACUAUUGAGAGAGAUUCUAUGUGGACAUUUGGAGUUCAUUUUAAA